CAGCCAGAUAGGGCUGAAAAAAGAGAGAAGGCACUGUAGUUCCUCCUCGCUGAUCUGAAGCCUGCAAACAGAGAUCGUUUCAGAUAUAAAUACUUGGAGCUGCCUGGUUGCCUGGGAGGCUGUUGUAAGAGUGAAGCAUACCGAUCCCUUCUCUGAAGAACAGCUGCAAAUGAUGGCUGAGCUCAGUUAUUAUCCUGGAUAGCAUGAAAAUUAAGGAUCUCUUCCAAGUACUUCCUCUGCAUUAUAGACUUACUUUCAGCUUCUG
Molecule: long non-coding RNA, 265 nt
Filed under: Gallus gallus (chicken)
Lineage: Eukaryota; Metazoa; Chordata; Aves; Galliformes; Phasianidae
Description: long non-coding RNA NONGGAT003900
Source: RNAcentral